Molecule: ribosomal RNA, 450 nt
Filed under: uncultured bacterium
Lineage: Bacteria
Description: SSU rRNA
Rfam family: Bacterial small subunit ribosomal RNA
Source: RNAcentral
AGGAUGAACGCUGGCGGUCUGCUUAACACAUGCAAGUCGAACGGGCGUAGCAAUACGUUAGUGGCGGACGGGUGAGUAACGCGUGAGAAUCUACCUUCAGGACGGAGACAACAGUUGGAAACGACUGCUAACCCCCGAUGUACCGAAAGGGCAAAUAUUUAUAGCCUGAAGAAGAGCUCGCGUCCGAUUAGCUAGUUGGAGAGGUAAAAGCUCGCCAAGGCGACGAUCGGUAGCUGAUCUGAGAGGACGAUCAGCCACACUGGGACUGAGACACGGCCCAGACUCCUACGGGAGGCAGCAGUGGGGAAUUUUCCGCAAUGGGCGAAAGCCUGACGGAGCAAGACCGCGUGGGGGAAGAAGGCUCUUGGGUUGUAAACCCCUUUUCUCUGGGAAGAACGCAAUGACGGUACCAGAGGAAUCAGCAUCGGCUAACUCCGUGCCAGCAGCCGC